RNAcentral lists this transfer RNA (76 nucleotides) under Cloacibacillus sp. An23. Its description in RNAcentral is "tRNA-Lys". It matches the Rfam family "tRNA". Rfam says of the family: Transfer RNA (tRNA) molecules are approximately 80 nucleotides in length. Their secondary structure includes four short double-helical elements and three loops (D, anti-codon, and T loops). The record is from RNAcentral. Lineage: Bacteria; Thermotogati; Synergistota; Synergistia; Synergistales; Synergistaceae.
GAAUCGCUAGCUCAGUUGGCAGAGCACCGGACUUUUAAUCCGGGUGUCCCGGGUUCAAAUCCCGGGCGAUUCACCA